Molecule: ribosomal RNA, 443 nt
Filed under: uncultured bacterium
Lineage: Bacteria
Description: bacterial SSU rRNA
Rfam family: Bacterial small subunit ribosomal RNA
Source: RNAcentral
CCUACGGGCGGCUGCAGUGAGGAAUAUUGGGCAAUGGAGGAAACUCUGACCCAGCAACGCCGCGUGAAGGAUGAAAGUCUUCGGAUUGUAAACUUCUGUAUUAGGGGAAAAAGAAAGUGAUGGUACCCUAAUAGAAAGCCACGGCAAACUACGUGCCAGCAGCCGCGGUAAGACGUAGGUGGCAAGCGUUGUCCGGAAUGACUGGGCGUAAAGGGAGCGUAGGCGGUUAUUUAAGUUUAAUGUGAAAUCCUGUAGCUUAACUACAGAACUGCAUUGGAUACUGGGUAACUGGAGUAUGGAAGAGGUAAGCGGAAUUACUAGUGUAGCGGUAAAAUGCGUAGAGAUUAGUAGGAACACCAGCGGCGAAGGCGGCUUACUGGGCUAUAACUGACGCUGAGGCUCGAAAGCGUGGGGAGCAAACAGGAUUAGAUACCCCUGUAGUC